UUCCUGGCCGUUUAGGUGGUCACUGC
RNAcentral lists this non-coding RNA (26 nucleotides) under Rattus norvegicus (Norway rat). The record is from RNAcentral. Lineage: Eukaryota; Metazoa; Chordata; Mammalia; Rodentia; Muridae.